CAGUGACAAUAAUUAGCAGCCAGAAUCUAGGUUGGCCAUCUUCUUGGGAAGAAAAAGACUGUUGAAAGCACAUGAAGAUGUUCCUUCAGAUGAAAUCUGCUUCCCUGGGAUUCAACCUGUAGUGCUACUUCUGUUCACUGUAAGGACCCAGAGUAAAUCCAAGUCACCUUCUACACUUCAAGAGGGAGCCAAGAACAUCAGAGUCAGAGAAGACAUGCUGACAGAAGCAGAGCCAAAGAAGUUCGUUGUGUGAAGGACUCAAGCCAAUGCGGCUGGCUUCGGAAAUGAAAGGAGGCACAAGCCAAUAAGUGUGGGCAGCCUCCAGAAUUUGGAAAGGACAAAGAAGUAAAUUCUCGCCUGAACCUCCAAAAAGAACAUAGCCCCACCAACACCUUGAUUUCAGCUCAAUGAGGCCCUGUUUGGGUUUCUGACCUCUAGAACUGUAAGACAAUAAAUUUGCUCAGUGUUAAGCCUCUAAGUUUGUGGUACUUUGUUACAGCAAUGAUAGGAAACCAAUACAGCCCUUAUCAUUCCCUGACAUAUUUAUGUUUAAUUCCCUUAUCUGCUGUCUCUGCUCACUGGAAUGCCAGCUGCAGGGAAGCUGAACAAUCAUUGAUUUUGUUUUCUGCUAUAAGCCCAGCCCUGAAAACAGCAUGUGGAGCUCAAUAGGUGCUCACUUGGUGAUGGAUGCUCCUAAGUGCUAGGUGCUUUCACAUAGGUCCUCUUAUUUCAUUCUCUCAACAGUCCUGAAAAGUGGCAAGGAG
Heterocephalus glaber (naked mole-rat) is the source of this 764-nucleotide long non-coding RNA. RefSeq lists it as uncharacterized. The record is from RefSeq and is a predicted model, not a curated record. NCBI's taxonomy places the organism in Eukaryota, Metazoa, Chordata, Mammalia, Rodentia, Bathyergidae.